GGCUUCUUCUGCAGGUACCGUCAAUUUCGUCCCUGCUGAAAGGGUUUACGACCCGAAGGCCUUCAUCCCCCACGCGGCGUUGCUGCGUCAGGCUUUCGCCCAUUGCGCAAUAUUCCCCGCUGCUGCCUCCCGUAGGAGUCUGGGCCGUGUCUCAGUCCCAGUGUGGCUGGUCGUCCUCUCAGACCAGCUACCCGUCGGAGCCUUGGUGGGCCGUUACCCCACCAACAAGCUGAUAGGCCGCGAGCCCCUCCCGAAGCAAAAUUCGUUUCCUCACUCGAUCAUGCGGUCAAGUGGGGGUAUCCGGUAUUAGCACCGGUUUCCCGGUGUUAUCCCAGUCUUCGGGGCAGGUUGCUCACGUGUUACGCACCCGUUCGCCACUAGGUCUUCAACGGUAUUGCUACCGAAUGGACCUCGUUCGACUUGCAUGCGUUAAGCACGCCGCCAGCGUUCGUCCUGAGCCAUGAUCAAACUCUAAUCGAAUUCCCGCGGCCGCCAUGGC
This 499-nucleotide ribosomal RNA is filed under the name uncultured Actinomycetes bacterium. Its description in RNAcentral is "uncultured actinobacterium partial 16S ribosomal RNA". Lineage: Bacteria; Bacillati; Actinomycetota; Actinomycetes. The record is from RNAcentral.